RNAcentral lists this long non-coding RNA (2428 nucleotides) under Phascolarctos cinereus (koala). RNAcentral's name for it is "lncRNA (ENSPCIG00000007976.2)". Lineage: Eukaryota; Metazoa; Chordata; Mammalia; Diprotodontia; Phascolarctidae. The record is from RNAcentral.
CCAUUCAGGGGAUUUGUUUUAUUUAACUACGCAAGGCUAUUUCAAGAAAUUUGCUUCUCUCUCUCUCUCUCUUUUUCCAGUGAAGUAGGACGGUCCACUGCCUCAUUUCAUCCUUACACCACGCCAGGUGGUGGGGGAGGAAAAGGGAGUGAGAGCUGCUCUUCUGGAAUAACCUGGGAAAAGAGAAGAUCUGAUGCAAAAUGUGAAGUCUUUGCUGCAGAAAGAGCACGUUGGAUUCUGGGUCUGCUGCUCCUAAUGUUGUUUCCCGUAAUUAGGGAAAGCUCUGAGUGGGCUUCAGCAAACUGCUUUUUCCUUCCAACUCUAGCUCUGUUUCCUUGGAAAACAGCCAAGAGCCACCUGUUUGGCUCGGAAUGAAUGGCCUGCUUAUGGAUCCUUGGAACUUUGCUCUCUAAAUUAACUUCUGCCUAAAUUCUAGCUGUCUUGGAUUCAUGCAUCGAGGCACCUUAGGAAAUCCCUCUGACGUGCUUUCCCACCAAAGAAGUUGCUGUUGUGGCCCGUAUUAGUCAAAGUGACAAGGGACAAGUUUGGCUCUUUCACACGUCUGUACUUUAUUUCUGCAAAAAUGAUUUGGGACCGACACCUUCGUUGGCUCAAAAAUCACUGCAGCCUACAACGCAAAAGUAACAAAGCUGUUUCCGGCUUCCCUGGCUUCCUUCAAGUCUCAGCUAAAGCUCACCUUCUGCAAGAAACCUUUCUGGGUCUGCCUUACUGCCUGUGCUUCUUUCUGAGAUAACCUCCAAUUUAUUCUGUAUGUAUUUGGUAUUUGCAGAUUGUAUCCUCCAUUAGAUUGUAAGCUCCCUGACAGCAGGGAUUGUUUUUCCUUUUUUAUGCCCUGAGUUUAGUACAGAGUCUAGCAUGUAUCAGGUGAUUAAGAAAUGCUCGGCUUGCCUUAACUUGAAUAGCAAGUACCCAUGGUCCCUGCCACCCACAAUAUAGCACUGCUAUUAAGUGAUAACACUGGGAUUAGAACAACAGACCAUUGACAGUGCCCCUUCCUUUAUACCAAGGGUUCUUAACCUUUUUUACAGUUACUAAUUUUUCUUUUUUUUUGGUGAGGCAAUCAGGGUUAAGUGACUUGCCCAGGGUCAUACAGCUAAUAAGUGUCAAAUGUCUGAGGUCGGAUUAAACUCAGGUCCUCCUGGCUCCACAGCCAGUGCUCUAUCCACUAUACCACUUAGCUGCCCCCAAAACAUUUUUUAAAAAUAAGUUCACAGACCAGAAGCUCUUCAUCCUCUAUAGCUGGGUGGGACCUGGAGUCAGGAAGACCUGAGUUCAAAUCCAUCCAUCAUCAAACACUUACUAGCACUGUGACCCUGGGCAAGUCACUUAAUCGCUGUCUGCCUCAGUUUCCUUAGCUGCAAAAUGGGGAUAACAAUACCUAUUUCACAGAAUUGUGAGAAUCUAAAUGGAUCUAAACUUUUAGUAAAAAGUUUCCUAAACUGAGUGCCUUCUGAAUAUGUAGUGCUACCCUACUGUCUUUUUUCCAUACUGUUUCUUUACAUAGCUAUAGCUCAGUCAUGAGAGCUAGUAUACUAAAUCUCAUUUAUACCAAUGAAUUUUAAUAUUGAUUUUCCUCUCACAAUACGAUCGCUAAUUCUCCCUAUUUGUAAGCCACACUAGGUACAUUUGUACACAGAAAUCUGAGGCCCAGGCUUUCAUUAGUGGAUUUCUUCUUGGAUACCAUUGCCUAUGAAUAGUGUGGAACAUUUUUGCUUGGCUUUUAACUUGCUAUUCUGUGUUAUAUCGUGAAUGUAAAAAUACUCAUCUCUCUCUAUGGGUUGCUACAAAAUUCUCCUUUCCCUCUAUACUUGUUGAAGUGAGACCCUCAGGCCAUUGUUUUAUUGGUAGCUCUUUGAGCUAACCCUCAUCCUCACUUGCCCCUGAAAACUGUCAUGCUGCUCACACACUGAUGGCUCCUUCUCUGAAGGCUGAAACUUGAUUUACUUGUGGUCAGCUUCCUGCCUUUUUUUUUUUCUGAUAUGACCCUAUCUGCUCAGCUUCCUGUAAUUGGCAACUGAAUGAUUCCUAUGGAAUCCUACCAAUAGAAGCUGCUCCACAAAUAGAAAUGCAAUUAUCAGCAAAGCCUAUCUAAUUAACCCUAAUUACUCACUUAUUUUCUCCAUUCCCUGCUGAACUCCAGAUACCUCCUUACACUGCCUUGGUCUCUUUCUCAUCUUUCACAGUUGGUAAGUGAGGAUUAAUUUAUGCAUAGCCAACUCCCCUCUUUUUCUGAUAAUGGGAUGAGAUUAUAUGCUCCACUACCUUAAUUUUAUUUUUAAUCUUAUUUUUAUUGAUAACUUUUGUUUCUGUAUCUUUUUAAUAUCCAACUGUCUUCCUCCUCCUCCUCCUCCCCUACCCAGACUGUUGUCCCUUGUACUAAAAAAUAAAAAAUAAAGAUAAAGAAACA